Molecule: small RNA, 279 nt
Filed under: Octodon degus (degu)
Lineage: Eukaryota; Metazoa; Chordata; Mammalia; Rodentia; Octodontidae
Description: Metazoan signal recognition particle RNA (ENSODEG00000025847.1)
Rfam family: Metazoan signal recognition particle RNA
About the family: The signal recognition particle (SRP) is a universally conserved ribonucleoprotein. It is involved in the co-translational targeting of proteins to membranes. The eukaryotic SRP consists of a 300-nucleotide 7S RNA and six proteins: SRPs 72, 68, 54, 19, 14, and 9.
Source: RNAcentral
GCCAGGCGUGGUGGUGCGCGCCUGUAGUCCCAGCUACUCGGGAGGCUGAGGUGGGAGGAUCGCUUGAGCCCAGGAGUUCUGGGCUGCAGUGCACUGUGCCCAUUGGGUGUCCACACUAAGUUCGGCAUCAAAUGGUGACCUCCCGGGAGUGGGGGACCACCAGGUUGCCUAAGGAGGGGUGAACCGGCCCAGGUCGGUAACAGUCCAACAGACCACUUGAACCCUCCUAGAGACCUACAACCAGUGGAGAAGAGAGGGCUGGGCACAGUCCCCAUCUAC